RNAcentral lists this unclassified non-coding RNA (238 nucleotides) under Lachnellula pulverulenta. RNAcentral's name for it is "partial contains 5.8S ribosomal RNA, internal transcribed spacer 2, and large subunit ribosomal RNA". Lineage: Eukaryota; Fungi; Ascomycota; Leotiomycetes; Helotiales; Lachnaceae. The record is from RNAcentral.
CGCAUAUUGCGCCCCUUGGUAUUCCGGGGGGCAUGCCUGUUCGAGCGUCAUUACAACCAAUCCAGCCUUGCUGGGUGUUGGGUCUCGCCGUGUGGCGGGCUCUAAAGCCAGUGGCGGUGCUCUCCAGCUCUACGCGUAGUCAAUCUCUCGCUCUAGGGUCUUGAGAGGUGCUUGCUAGCAAACUCGCACUUUUUUUUAGGUUGACCUCGGAUCAGGUAGGGAUACCCGCUGAACUUAA